GCCCGCUCAAGAAACUACAAAGGAAUUGGACGGGGCCCGCACAAGCGGUGGAGCAUGUGGUUUAAUUCGAUGAUACGCGAGGAACCUUACCUGGGCUCGAACGUAAGAUGACUGUAGGUGAAAGCUUACAUCUCUUCGGAGCAUUUUACGAGGUGCUGCAUGGUUGUCGUCAGCUCGUGCCGUGAGGUGUCGGGUUAAGUCCCAUAACGAGCGCAACCCCUACCUUUAGUUGCCAUCAGGUUAAGCUAGGGACUCUAAAGGAACUGCCUACGCAAGUAGUGAGGAAGGCGGGGAUGACGUCAAAUCAGCACGGCCCUUACGUCCAGGGCUACACACGUGCUACAAUGGCCGAUACAGAGGGCAGCUACCUGGUGACAGGAUGCAAAUCUCCAAAGUCGGUCUCAGUUCGGAUCGGAGUCUGCAACCCGACUCCGUGAAGUUGGAUUCGCUAGUAAUCGCGCAUCAGCCAUGGCGCGGUGAAUACGUUCCCGGGCCUU
RNAcentral lists this ribosomal RNA (497 nucleotides) under uncultured Sphingobacteriales bacterium. Its description in RNAcentral is "bacterial SSU rRNA". It matches the Rfam family "Bacterial small subunit ribosomal RNA", at positions 903 to 1382 of the family's 1533-position model. Lineage: Bacteria; Pseudomonadati; Bacteroidota; Sphingobacteriia; Sphingobacteriales. The record is from RNAcentral.